CCCAGUUCAGGGAGGUAGUGACAAUAAAUACCUUACAGAGGUCUCGUUAACCGAGAUCUCUCAAACGGAAUGAGUACAACGUGAAUCCUUUAACGAGGAUCGACUGGAGGGCAAGCCUGGUGCCAGCAGCCGCGGUAAUUCCAGCUCCAGUAGCGUAUAUUAAAGCUGUUGCGGUUAAAAAGCUCGUAGUUGGAUAUCAGUGCGUGUCCGGUCCGGUAUGCCUGGCGCUGUCGCUCGCGCGGCAAUGCUGGGCUCCCAAAUAUCGGCUGGCCGCAUUCAAUCGUGCCGGAUCCGUCGGCGGGCCGUUCUUCGGAGGGGCCUGUUGGCGGCCGGCGACGUUACCUUGAACAAAUUAGAGUGCUCAAAGCAGGCUCUGUAUGCCUGUAUACAUAUUCAUGGAAUUGGAGAAUACGUCCCUGGCUCGAUUUGGUUGGUUUUGAGAGUCGAAGGGAAAUGAUUAAUAGGGACUGACGGAGGCAUUCGUAUUGCGACGCGAGGGGUGAAAUCCUGUGACCGUCGCACGACGAACUACUGCGAAAGCAUUUGCCGAGAAUGUUUUCAUUAGUCAAGAACGAAAGUUAGAGGUUCGAAGGCGAUCAGAUACCGCCCUAGUUCUAACCGUAAACGAUGUCGACCAGCAAUCCGCAACGGUCACUACACGGACUGUGCGGGCAGCUUCCCCGGGGAAACCAGAGUUUUUGGACUCCGGGGGAAGUAUGGUUGCAAAGCUGAAACUUAAAGGAAUUGACGGAAGGGCACCACCAGGAGUGGAGCUUGCGGCUUAAUUUGACUCAACACGGGACAACUCACCAGGCCCGGACACCGUAAGGAUUGACAGACUGAUAGCUCUCUCUUGAUUCAGUGGGUGGUGGUGCAUGGCCGUUCUUAGUUGGUGGAGUGAUUUGUCUGGUUUAUUCCGAUAACGAACGAGACUCUGGCCUAUUAAACUUGACACUGUCAGUCUCUUGUGACUGCGGUGCGCUUCUUAGAGGGAUCAUCGGCGUCCCAGCCGAAGGAAAGGGAGCAAUAACAGGUCUGUGAUGCCCUUAGAUGUUCUGGGCUGCACGCGUGUUACACUGAAGUGGUCAGCGCGCCGUUCAACACCCCUCUCCGUGAGGAGCUUGGGCAAACGUUUGAACCCUUUUCGUGAUGGGAAUUGGGGGUUGCAAUUG
RNAcentral lists this ribosomal RNA (1172 nucleotides) under Pectinoacasta sculpturata. RNAcentral describes it as "SSU rRNA". It matches the Rfam family "Eukaryotic small subunit ribosomal RNA", at positions 450 to 1592 of the family's 1831-position model. Lineage: Eukaryota; Metazoa; Arthropoda; Thecostraca; Balanomorpha; Balanidae. The record is from RNAcentral.